Molecule: ribosomal RNA, 402 nt
Filed under: uncultured bacterium
Lineage: Bacteria
Description: bacterial SSU rRNA
Rfam family: Bacterial small subunit ribosomal RNA
Source: RNAcentral
UGGGGAAUAUUGGACAAUGGGCGCAAGCCUGAUCCAGCCAUGCCGCGUGAGUGAUGAAGGCCUUAGGGUUGUAAAGCUCUUUCGGCGGGGAAGAUAAUGACGGUACCCGCAGAAGAAGCCCCGGCUAACUUCGUGCCAGCAGCCGCGGUAAUACGAAGGGGGCUAGCGUUGCUCGGAAUCACUGGGCGUAAAGCGCACGUAGGCGGCUUACUAAGUCAGGGGUGAAAUCCUGGAGCUCAACUCCAGAACUGCCUUUGAUACUGGUGAGCUUGAGUUCGGGAGAGGUGAGUGGAACUGCGAGUGUAGAGGUGAAAUUCGUAGAUAUUCGCAAGAACACCGGUGGCGAAGGCGGCUCACUGGCCCGAUACUGACGCUGAGGUGCGAAAGCGUGGGGAGCAAACA